UUUUUUUUUUUUCAAAAUAGUAUUUGAGAAAGCUGAAGUGAGUAAUUUAGUCUGGAGUUUAUAAUUGCUUAACUCGUUGCCCCAGAAGUUCCCAAGGCUUGUUUAAAUGGGGCUUUGAGACACUGACCUAUUGAAAGAUGUCCCUGCCCAGUGCAGUGGUCAUGAAUGAGAUGAUCUUUAAAUGUUCCUUGUGAUCCAAACCAUUCUGUGAUGCCCUUCCCUGUUGUCUGAGUAGUCUCUCACUAUUCACAUUUAAUAAGGCUUCUGACAUGUCUAAAUUGUGUGCUACUAUGUGCUUGGAGCCCCCAGAUCUCUAACACCAGUAUAGAGCUUCCCAGCAUCUUAUGGACUGAGCAGAAUAAUGAAAAUUCUUGUCAGCAAAAAUGAAACAAAAUUAAAAAAGCAAAGGCCAUCUAAUUCAAAUUGCUACUGACUUCCCAGUGAUGGAUUUUUCUACAAGCCACAGUUUCAUCUUGUACAAGUUUAAAAAUCUGUUUUAUUUUUGUGUUUAACUAGAUUUCUUCUGAUUAGAAAUUGCAACACUUAGGUUCAAAUGCAUCGUGGAAGACAUUAAUCAACACCUGGGCACCAGGGGCUGCUGGUGCUGGGGGACCCUGCCCAGGACAGGCUGUCCUGAGCUGUCUCCUCGCUGCAGGGCUGUGCCAGGACAGGCCCUGCUCGCUGUGGUGCCAGCAGCAGCUCUGGGGGUGCAGGGCUGUGGGAGGAAAGUCGGUGUCAGCAGCGUUUUCAUCGUGUGGAUGGAACCCCAAGGCCCUGUCCCCAGUGGCUGCCUGCACAGACAAUGUCCCAAUUGUCCCUCGCCGCUGGCUCUCUCCUAGAAACUCACUGUGGCUGUGCUCAUUAAAAACAAAGCCUGCUUCCAGUGCCCAGCUCCAGCAGCCACACUGAAGCAGCCUCUGUGGGCACCUGGGUUGCUUUAAGCUCAGACAAAAGGGGUCCUGGGCUCGGCUUUCCUAGGUCUGAAGGUUUGGUACCACACCACGACCUGCCUGCACAAGCCCCCAGUGCUGCCAGGCUGCCCACGCUGUGCCAGGCUCUGGCCAGCCUGUUUGCUGGGGGACAGCCUCAGAUGUGUUAUCUGUGUGAUGACAGACUGCAGGACCACUGCUGCUGUCUUGUUUGAAUUGCAGAGAUCUCAAAGAGCCCCAGUCCUGUGCCCUAAUCCACUGUAUCUGGGAUGUACAAAUACAGAAAAACCCGGGUGGGUCUUGUUCUUCCUCAGCUCCCUAGGAGCACUGUUAGUUAAGUAGGUCAGUGCUCCAAACACACAGAUGUACAACACAUGUCAGACAGGAGAGAUGCAAACUGGAAUACUAAGCCAUCAAGUGGCUGUUAAAAACUUCAUAAGGGCAAUUAAAAGAUUACCUUUCAUAAUGUAUCCUUUCAUACAGGCAAUGGAAACAAAAGUGGCAAUUAGUUUCAGUUACAGCUUUGGAGUUCUGGACAAGUAUCUUCAGAUGCAAUUUCUUUUUGGUCACCUGAUCUGUGCAUCCAUGACUGCAGGGAUAUCUGUCUCUACCCUGCAGGUGAACACCUGAGCUGUGUGUGAUGGGACAUGUGCAUGCUCCUGUCUGGCAGCCUUUGCCCAGGGAGCAGCUGAUGUCCCUUACCCACCUUUUGCUGUUGACUUGUGACACACAGAUGCAGCAAACAAUGAACCAGACAACUUUACUGCAAGGGAAUUGUUGCCACCCACUGUAAACCUCCCUCUACAGUUAUACGUUGUGCUGAUGAUUAAUAAAAAUAACUACAUAUGGCU
Molecule: long non-coding RNA, 1780 nt
Filed under: Taeniopygia guttata (zebra finch)
Lineage: Eukaryota; Metazoa; Chordata; Aves; Passeriformes; Estrildidae
Description: lncRNA (ENSTGUG00000020957.1)
Source: RNAcentral